This 1369-nucleotide long non-coding RNA is filed under the name Capra hircus (goat). Its description in RNAcentral is "lncRNA (ENSCHIG00010004007.1)". The record is from RNAcentral. Lineage: Eukaryota; Metazoa; Chordata; Mammalia; Artiodactyla; Bovidae.
CACGACUGAGCAGCUGCACUGAACAACCAAAGCUGAAGAUGUUCCCAUCCACCUUGUCCCCUUACUGGUGCAUAAAAAAUUGCUACAUCAGACCAUAGAGUGUUUAUCCUUCAAAGAAAUAUAGUAUAUAUUUUAAUUUAAUAUUUUAUAUUUGUUGCUUUCUUUCCCUUUGGUUUCUUUAGUCCAUUCCCUUGAAACUUUCAAUUGAUCAAAAUAAAAGUAAAAAUGGACUGCAGUUUGGAAAUACUCAUUAACUUUCCAAAUUAUUACAUGCAUUACUUAUUCUGACAAUUUAUAACAUGAAGGACAUAUCUACAUUUUUUGCAGAUAGAACCAAUCUAUUUUCUUGUUUCACUUGUAGUUUUGUUAAUGAAAAACAUUUCAAAAUAACAAUAGAUAAUAUAAAAAACUUCCAUAAGCCAGCUUCCUAAAUUAACAAAUACUGACAUUUUAUAAUUGCUUUAAUUAAACUUAUUUUCCUUUUAAUAAUAAAAUUUAUUACUUUAUUUUAACAAAAAAUUAUUAUCACAAAGUUAAAGUUCCCUGUUUUUCCUUUACCAUGCUCAUUUCUCACCUUUCUCUAAGAAAACAACUCUUGAAUUGGGAGUAUAGCCAGGCCACAUUUUGUCUGCUUCUGUUACAUACAACUGGAUUCACAAGAAAUAUACAGCAUUGUUUUAUAGAUUUAAAAUUUUUAACCUAUAUGACAUUUAUGGUACAUGGUCUAAUUUUCAUCCAAUGUUGUUUUUUAGUUCUUGCUGUGUUCAUACAUGUAGAUUUAAUCCAUUUAUUUAACCUCUGGAUACUGUUUCAUUUUAUAGAUCCUUUUGUUGAGAAACAGUUGGGUUGCUUCCAUUAAUUCAUUAUUACAAUGAAUGCUGCAAUGAACUUUAAACAUAUUUUCUUGUUCAUGUUCAGGUGCAAAGAAUUCCUUAACCACCUCUGUUUCCUCAAUAAAGGCAAUCUGUUAUUUAAAAGAAAAAAAUAGAUGUUACUUCAUUCUUUUCAAAAAGUAAAUAUAAUUGAUAAAAUCUUCAACAAUAUCUUUCCCUCUCUUUGUGUAAAAUAACUAUGUGUUAGCAUGUUACAAUGAAAAGAUGGUGAUUGUUAUUACAUUCCAUGAAAAAGCUCUUAUCAGAAUGUCAACUUUCUUUAUUCUAUUGGAAAUAAUAAUAAUAAAAGAAAUUUCCCCUAGCCCCAAAGAAAGCACAACCUAUCAUUUUUAUACAUACUUUCAACUAUUCCAUCAGGAAUAUUGAAAUUCUUUAUAUAGACUUGCUGCUGCUGCUGUUUAGUCACUUCAGUUGAGUCCAGCUCUGUGUGACCCCAUGGACAGUAGCCCGCCAGGCUCCUCUGUCCAUGGAAUUCU